CACUGGCCAGAAGGAGCCAUUUCUGCUUAAUUGAGUUCAGUCAGUAGUUAGGUCUGCCUCUUGCAGUGAACAGAAUAAAGCAGCCUAUGGUUCACUCCCAGGGGCCACCACACAAGUGUGUCCAUGCAGCUGGAAUUUCAGGUGUGUCACCCUGGAGCUGAGGCCUCCAGAUGGACUCGUAGAAGGGAGAUGUGUAAGGCUCCAUCCCUCAGCAGCCCACGAUCUCUGAAGGUUUGCCACUGUGGCCAAUGUUUUAUGGAAGCUUCUGAGGCCGUAGAGCAGAGGGAAGUUCUGAGCACACGGAGGACAAGCCAGGGUGGUGCUGUGUGGCCGCAAACAACCCUAAGUAGGGGAUACGUGUGGGGGACAGGCUCUAACACCUUGAUUCCUUAUGUCUGUGUCUCUGCAGUAUGUUUCAUGGAGAGUCUGAGUGACAGCAACCAUGAUGAAAGUGAUACAGACUCAGUGGUGGAGAGCAUGAGCAGCCGCCAGGAUGAGGAGGCUGCAGCAACCCUCGAUGAUGUUGUGGAGGCCGGCGGGAGUGAGAAGACGGAGGAAGAGGCCCUGGCUGGGGCAAAUGAGGAGGAGGUGGGGCCGGGAACUGAGAAGGUGCAGGAGGAGGCUGCCUGCAUUGACGAGGCAGAGGAGGAGGCAGGCCCAUCCCUUGAAAAUGACGAGGAGUCCCCAGCCAGCGACCUGGUUGAGCAGGAAGACCAGCUUGCCCCCAAGGUAAGCUCACCUUUCUUGAUCGGAGAUUUAAAAAGGUGCCUCCUUUCUUCUUGG
This 783-nucleotide long non-coding RNA is filed under the name Sus scrofa (pig). RNAcentral's name for it is "lncRNA (ENSSSCG00070001543.1)". Lineage: Eukaryota; Metazoa; Chordata; Mammalia; Artiodactyla; Suidae. The record is from RNAcentral.